AUGUCACUAUAUCUUUUAGUGACGGCUGUUAGGAGUGCGAGUAUAAACUUUAACCUAUACCUUCGGAUUUUGUCUAUCACUAAAGGGCUAGAAAUGAAUUGAAUCAAGUCUAUCCAGAGUUCCGCUGUAUAAGGAUUUAUUUGCCUCGAAACUCAACUCGAGUUCAAAACGAGUUAUGUUUCUAGCUCAAAUUUGGUUCGACUGAAGUUCGCGAAUUGUUCAAUCCGAAUCAUCAACUUGAAUUUGUUUUGUUUCAUCAAGAGGUCGUAGACUGUUAAGUUCAACUCAUUAACUAGAUUGAUUAAGUUUUCAACUUGAAUGAUCAUUAUUUAUUUAAUGUGAGAAAUUAAAGAUUUUCUACAACUAUAUAUAUAUAUAUAUAUAUAUAGUUGAGUCAGCUCCUUAACCUAACUAUUCGAAUUGUACUUAGUUUAAGUUUGACUCAUUAAGUUAACAACCUUAUUUUCAGCUCAAGUUUUCAUGAACCAAGUGUAACGAGCUAAAUAAUAAAUUGAGUUU
Non-coding RNA from Lupinus albus (white lupine), 519 nucleotides. Lineage: Eukaryota; Viridiplantae; Streptophyta; Magnoliopsida; Fabales; Fabaceae. The record is from the annotation of a GenBank genome assembly.